RNAcentral lists this ribosomal RNA (406 nucleotides) under uncultured bacterium. RNAcentral's name for it is "partial 16S ribosomal RNA". It matches the Rfam family "Bacterial small subunit ribosomal RNA", at positions 30 to 526 of the family's 1533-position model. The record is from RNAcentral.
AUUGAACGCUGGCGGCAGGCCUAACACAUGCAAGUCGAACGAGUGGCGGACGGGUGAGGAAUGUCUGGGAAACUGCCCGAUGGAGGGGGAUAAGUGCUGGAAACGGUAGCGAAUACCGCAUACCAUCGGAUGUGCCGAGAUGGGAUUAGCUAGUAGGUGGGGUAACGGCCCACCUAGGCGACGAUCCCUAGCUGGUCUGAGAGGUUGACCAGCCACACUGGAACUGAGACACGGUCCAGACUCCUACGUGAGGCAGCAGUGGGGAAUAUUGCCCAAUGGGCGCAAGCCUGAUGCAGCCAUGCCGCGUGUAUGAAGAAGGCCUUCGGGUUGUAAAGUACUUUCAGCGAGGAGGCGUUACUCGCAGAAGAAGCACCGGCUAACUCCGUGCCAGCAGCCGCGGUAAUAC